Molecule: ribosomal RNA, 497 nt
Filed under: uncultured bacterium
Lineage: Bacteria
Description: partial 16S ribosomal RNA
Rfam family: Bacterial small subunit ribosomal RNA
Source: RNAcentral
GAUGAACGCUGGCGGCGUGCCUAAUACAUGCAAGUCGAGCGAACAGACGAGGCGCUUGCUCCUCUGACGAUAGCGGCGGACGUGUGAGUAACACGUGGAUAACCUACCUAUAAGACUGGGAUAAUUUCGGGAAGCCGGAGCUUAUACCGGAUAAUAUAUUGAACCGCAUGGUUCAAUAGUGAAAGACGGUUUUGCUGUCACUUAUAGAUGGAUCCGCGCCGCAUUAGCUAGUUGGUAAGGUAACGGCUUACCAAGGCGACGAUGCGUAGCCGACCUGAGAGGGUGAUCGGCCACCGUAGAGCUGAGACACGGUCCAGACUACUACGAGAGGCAGCAGUCGGGAAUCUUACGCAAUGGGGGGAAGCCUGACGGAGCAACGGCGCGUGGGUGACGAAAGUCUUCGGAUCGUAAAACUCUGUUAUUAGGGAAGAACAAAUGUGUAAGUAACUAUGCGCGUCUUGACGGUACCUAAUCAGAAAGCCACGGCUAACUACGUG